UCUGAUUAGCUAGUUGGUAGGGUAAAAGCCUACCAAGGCAUCGAUCAGUAACUGGUCUGAGAGGAUGACCAGUCACACUGGGACUGAGACACGGCCCAGACUCCUACGGGAGGCAGCAGUGGGGAAUUUUCCGCAAUGGGCGAAAGCCUGACGGAGCAAUACCGCGUGAGGGAGGAAGGCUCUUGGGUUGUAAACCUCUUUUCUCAGGGAAGAACAAAAUGACGGUACCUGAGGAAUCAGCAUCGGCUAACUCCGUGCCAGCAGCCGCGGUAAUACGGAGGAUGCAAGCGUUAUCCGGAAUGAUUGGGCGUAAAGCGUCCGCAGGUGGCUGCUUCAAGUCUGCUGUCAAAGCUCAGGGCUUAACCCUGAAUCGGCGGUGGAAACUGAACAGCUAGAGUGCGGUAGGGGUAGAGGGAAUUCCCAGUGUAGCGGUGAAAUGCGUAGAGAUUGGGAAGAACACCAGUGGCGAAAGCGCUCUGCUGGACCGCAACCGACACUCAUGGACGAAAGCUAGGGGAGCGAAUGGGAUUAGAUACCCCAGUAGUCCUAGCCGU
Molecule: ribosomal RNA, 554 nt
Filed under: uncultured cyanobacterium
Lineage: Bacteria; Bacillati; Cyanobacteriota
Description: bacterial SSU rRNA
Rfam family: Bacterial small subunit ribosomal RNA
Source: RNAcentral